Long non-coding RNA from Siniperca chuatsi (mandarin fish), 1495 nucleotides. RefSeq lists it as uncharacterized. The transcript has 2 exons. Lineage: Eukaryota; Metazoa; Chordata; Actinopteri; Centrarchiformes; Sinipercidae. The record is from RefSeq and is a predicted model, not a curated record.
CAACGGGGGCAGAGGACAAAGGGGGUGGACAUGAAGGGGAGGACAUGAAGGGGGGCAGAGGACAACGAGGGGGGAGGACAGAGGACGGGGGGGGGGACAAUCUCUGUUUGUGUCUCUGGAUGAUAGUUUCCACACAUCCUGGAAAACCGGGUAAUCUGUAAUGCUGCUUUCCAGUCCUGGAAAAGUCCUGGAAAGUGUAAACAGGACGUCCUGGUUUCAGCUGAAGCUCGUUAACAGUCGUGAAAUGAUACAAAUGAACGUUGACAUUACGACAUAUUUACAUAUAUUUCAGACUCUGGUUCUUACGGUGGCCCUGAAGGACAAAUCCAGCGUUUCAGUGUUUUUAUUUUUAAAUAUUUCUCUUCACAUUUGUGUCUCUAAAGUCAAAGUGACCUUUAAAAACAAAAAUAUCAUGAAAUAUACGAGAAUGUUUAUCACUGAAUAAAAACAAACUAAAGGACGGACAAAUGAACAGGUGAACUAAUAUUUCUCUUAGUGCUUUUGCUUUUUGCUCUUGUAUGUGUUUUGUCCUCAGGGGCCACCGUCAUUUCUAGAGCAAAGACUUUAAAGGACACGUCUCCUGUGGUCCGCUAUCCCACAGUCUAUUGCAUGCACCUUUACUCGUGUAAAGGUGCGUUCAGGUGCUCUUUGUCAUUCAUUAACAGUGUGUCGAGGAGGUAAUCGGAUGAGUUGACGAGAAGUACGGAAGCAAAGAAAGUCCAUAACUAAACCAAACACCUCAGUGUGAAGUUAAACCACUACUGAAUUCUUAAAGUUGACGUGAUGACAAAAUUUAAAGCACUGAAAUAUUUUACUUUAAAAACCACCUGACGGUUUGAAUUGAAAGGUCAUUUCAGGAUGUGCAAUUUCACAAACUUCAUUUUUUUCACAAAUUAAAUCUAAUUUUCAAAUAAAAUAAUAAAAAAAUUACUAAAAUUUGUCAUUUUCCAGGCAAAAAAAUCACGUUACAUUUUCCUGGUUAAAUUCAGAGACCUGAAGUCAAACAUCUGGGCUACCGAUCGGUCCAAUCAGGUAACAUCCCGUCAGUCAUGUGAUCCAAGAAAAGUUCAGAUGAGCAACUGGAAACUGGAAAGAUUCAAUUUAUAGCGGCUUUCUUUGCUUCCAUAAAAGCACCUGAACACAUCGUCAGUUUUAUCUGUGUGAUGUGACGUCGUCUGAUUCGUGGAGGACGUUAAGCCCCGCCUCCUCGCAGGGGGCGGGGCCUGAGCUGUGGCGCACCUUGAGUAUUUUCCAAAACAGUGAGAACUGCAGUGGAAACAGCGGAAAACGAAGGUGUAAUCUCUGAUUCUUUGCAGCAGGUCUGGUUGAGAUGUUUUGGUUGGACGCUGAAGGAGACGCAGCCUGAAAGAGAAAAUGAGGAAGAGUUUUUACUGUUGAAGAAGAUCUCAAACAGAAACAGUUGAAGACGUCGUCUGUACUGACUGACCUCUGACCUCUGCAAGGCCACAAUAAAACCAUCAUUUCAAGAAAUAAA